AUUGAACGCUGGCGGCAGGCCUAACACAUGCAAGUCGAGCGGAUGACGGGAGCUUGCUCCUUGAUUCAGCGGCGGACGGGUGAGUAAUGCCUAGGAAUCUGCCUGGUAGUGGGGGACAACGUUUCGAAAGGAACGCUAAUACCGCAUACGUCCUACGGGAGAAAGCAGGGGACCUUCGGGCCUUGAGCUAGCAGAUGAGCCUAGGUCGGAUUAGCUAGUUGGUGAGGUAAUGGCUCACCAAGGCGACGAUCCGUAACUGGUCUGAGAGGACGAUCAGUCACACUGGAACUGAGACACGGUCCAGACUCCUACGGGAGGCAGCAGUGGGGAAUAUUGGACAAUGGGCGAAAGCCUGAUCCAGCCAUGCCGCGUGUGUGAAGAAGGUCUUCGGAUUGUAAAGCACUUUAAGUUGGGAGGAAGGGCAGUAAGCUAAUACCUUGCUGUUUUGACGUUACCGACAGAAUAAGCACCGGCUAACUCUGUGCCAGCAGCCGCCGUAA
Molecule: ribosomal RNA, 500 nt
Filed under: uncultured bacterium
Lineage: Bacteria
Description: partial 16S ribosomal RNA
Rfam family: Bacterial small subunit ribosomal RNA
Source: RNAcentral